RNAcentral lists this ribosomal RNA (250 nucleotides) under uncultured bacterium. RNAcentral describes it as "partial 16S ribosomal RNA". It matches the Rfam family "Bacterial small subunit ribosomal RNA", at positions 807 to 1058 of the family's 1533-position model. The record is from RNAcentral.
CGAUGUACACUAGGUGUUGGGGUACGAACCUCAGUGCCGAAGCAAACGUGAUAAGUGUACCGCCUGGGGAGUAUGCCCGCAAGGGUGAAACUCAAAGGAAUUGACGGGGGCCCGCACAAGCGGUGGAGCAUGUGGUUUAAUUCGAUGGUACGCGAGGAACCUUACCUGGGUUUGACAUCUAGUGGAAUACCUUAGAGAUAAGGUAGCGUAGCAAUACGUCGCUAGACAGGUGCUGCAUGGCUGUCGUCAG